CCAAUAGCCAACCCAAACUGGGACCCCAGUGAUGACAAGAAUCAAGAACGGCUUCAUCAUUAUAGCAAUAUGCUUCUCGGAGGUACAAGGGAAGCAAGCCAGCCCCUGGUCAAUUGAGGAAAUCUCAGAGAAACAGAACAAGGCCCUAAUGAAAAUCCAUCAGCAUUCCUAAAUUGAUAAUAAGAAUGCCUCCAGAAUUACACCCCUUGGGACCCAGAUGACCCAAAAGCCGAGUAGUACUUUAAUCCCACUUCAUCUCUCAGCCCCAGAUAUUCAGAGAAUAAAAUUCCUAUUGAUC
RNAcentral lists this small RNA (298 nucleotides) under Pongo abelii (Sumatran orangutan). Its description in RNAcentral is "retained intron". Lineage: Eukaryota; Metazoa; Chordata; Mammalia; Primates; Hominidae. The record is from RNAcentral.